RNAcentral lists this ribosomal RNA (278 nucleotides) under uncultured Sphingomonas sp. Its description in RNAcentral is "partial 16S ribosomal RNA". It matches the Rfam family "Bacterial small subunit ribosomal RNA", at positions 29 to 334 of the family's 1533-position model. The record is from RNAcentral. Lineage: Bacteria; Pseudomonadati; Pseudomonadota; Alphaproteobacteria; Sphingomonadales; Sphingomonadaceae.
AACGAACGCUGGCGGCAUGCCUAACACAUGCAAGUCGAACGAGAUCUUCGGAUCUAGUGGCGCACGGGUGCGUAACGCGUGGGAAUCUGCCCCUUGGUUCGGAAUAACAGUUAGAAAUGACUGCUAAUACCGGAUGACGACGUAAGUCCAAAGAUUUAUCGCCGAGGGAUGAGCCCGCGUAGGAUUAGCUAGUUGGUGUGGUAAAGGCGCACCAAGGCGACGAUCCUUAGCUGGUCUGAGAGGAUGAUCAGCCACACUGGGACUGAGACACGGCCCAG